Molecule: ribosomal RNA, 503 nt
Filed under: uncultured bacterium
Lineage: Bacteria
Description: partial 16S ribosomal RNA
Rfam family: Bacterial small subunit ribosomal RNA
Source: RNAcentral
GACGAACGCUGGCGGCGUGCUUAACACAUGCAAGUCGAACGGUGAAGCGCUUUCCUUUUUGGUUGGUGUGGAUGAGUGGCGAACGGGUGAGUAACACGUGAGUAACCUGCCCCCUUCUUCUGGAUAACCGCAUGAAAGUGUGGCUAAUACGGGAUAUUCUGCGCCUGCUGCAUGGUGGGUGUGGGAAAGAUUGUGCCUUUGGGUGUUUUCGGUGGGGGAUGGGCUCGCGGCCUAUCAGCUUGUUGGUGGGGUGAUGGCCUACCAAGGCGGUGACGGGUAGCCGGCCUGAGAGGGUGGACGAUCACACUGGGACUGAGACACGGCCCAGACUCCUACGGGAGGCAGCAGUGGGGAAUAUUGCACAAUGGGCGCAAGCCUGAUGCAGCGACGCCGCGUGAGAGAUGGAGGCCUUCGGGUUGUGAACCUCUUUCGCCAGUGAAGCAGGCCUGCUCCUUGUGGGUGGGUUGACGGUAGCUGGAUAAGAAGCGCCGGCUAACUACGUG